AGAGGAAGUAAAAGUCGUAACAAGGUUACGGUAGGUGAAGCUACGGAACGAUCAUUA
This 57-nucleotide ribosomal RNA is filed under the name Podisma pedestris. RNAcentral describes it as "partial 18S ribosomal RNA". Lineage: Eukaryota; Metazoa; Arthropoda; Insecta; Orthoptera; Acrididae. The record is from RNAcentral.